This 253-nucleotide ribosomal RNA is filed under the name uncultured bacterium. RNAcentral describes it as "partial 16S ribosomal RNA". It matches the Rfam family "Bacterial small subunit ribosomal RNA", at positions 524 to 776 of the family's 1533-position model. The record is from RNAcentral.
UACGAAGGGGGCUAGCGUUGCUCGGAAUCACUGGGCGUAAAGCGCACGUAGGCGGCUUUUUAAGUCAGGGGUGAAAUCCUGGAGCUCAACUCCAGAACUGCCUUUGAUACUGGGAAGCUUGAGUCCGGAAGAGGUGAGUGGAACUCCGAGUGUAGAGGUGAAAUUCGUAGAUAUUCGGAAGAACACCAGUGGCGAAGGCGACACACUGGGCCAUUACUGACGCUGAGGCGCGAAAGCGUGGGGAGCAAACAGG